UGAAGGGCGUGCUAAUCUGCGAUAAGCGCCGGUAAGGUGAUAUGAACCGUUAUAACCGGCGAUACCCGAAUGGGGAAACCCAGUGUGACUCGUCACACUAUCAUUAACUGAAUCCAUAGGUUAAUGAGGCGAACCGGGGGAACUGAAACAUCUAAGUACCCCGAGGAAAAGAAAUCAACCGAGAUUCCCCCAGUAGCGGCGAGCGAACGGGGAGGAGCCCAGAGCCUGAAUCAGCAUGUGUGUUAGUGGAAGCGUCUGGAAAGGCGCGCGAUACAGGGUGACAGCCCCGUACACAAAAGCGCAUGUGCUGUGAGCUCGAUGAGUAGGGCGGGACACGUGGUAUCCUGUCUGAAUAUGGGGGGACCAUCCUCCAAGGCUAAAUACUCCUGACUGACCGAUAGUGAACCAGUACCGUGAGGGAAAGGCGAAAAGAACCCCGGCGAGGGGAGUGAAAAAGAACCUGAAACCGUGUACGUACAAGCAGUGGGAGCACCCUUUGGGUGUGACUGCGUACCUUUUGUAUAAUGGGUCAGCGACUUAUAUUCUGUAGCAAGGUUAACCGAAUAGGGGAGCCGGAGGGAAACCGAGUCUUAACCGGGCGUUAAGUUGCAGGGUAUAGACCCGAAACCCGGUGAUCUAGCCAUGGGCAGGUUGAAGGUUGGGUAACACUAACUGGAGGACCGAACCGACUAAUGUUGAAAAAUUAGCGGAUGACCUGUGGCUGGGGGUGAAAGGCCAAUCAAACCGGGAGAUAGCUGGUUCUCCCCGAAAGCUAUUUAGGUAGCGCCUCGUGAAUUCAUCUCCGGGGGUAGAGCACUGUUUCGGCUAGGGGGCCAUCCCGGCUUACCAACCCGAUGCAAACUGCGAAUACCGGAGAAUGUUAUCACGGGAGACACACGGCGGGUGCUAACGUCCGUCGUGAAGAGGGAAACAACCCAGACCGCCAGCUAAGGUCCCAAAGUCAUGGUUAAGUGGGAAACGAUGUGGGAAGGCCCAGACAGCCAGGAUGUUGGCUUAGAAGCAGCCAUCAUUUAAAGAAAGCGUAAUAGCUCACUGGUCGAGUCGGCCUGCGCGGAAGAUGUAACGGGGCUAAACCAUGCACCGAAGCUGCGGCAGCGACACUGUGUGUUGUUGGGUAGGGGAGCGUUCUGUAAGCCUGUGAAGGUGUGUCGUGAGGCAUGCUGGAGGUAUCAGAAGUGCGAAUGCUGACAUAAGUAACGAUAAAGCGGGUGAAAAGCCCGCUCGCCGGAAGACCAAGGGUUCCUGUCCAACGUUAAUCGGGGCAGGGUGAGUCGACCCCUAAGGCGAGGCCGAAAGGCGUAGUCGAUGGGAAACGGGUUAAUAUUCCCGUACUUGGUGUUACUGCGAAGGGGGGACGGAGAAGGCUAUGUUGGCCGGGCGACGGUUGUCCCGGUUUAAGCGUGUAGGUGUGUGUUCCAGGUAAAUCCGGUUCACUUUAACACUGAGGCGUGACGACGAGGCACUACGGUGCUGAAGCAACAAAUGCCCUGCUUCCAGGAAAAGCCUCUAAGCAUCAGGUAACAUCAAAUCGUACCCCAAACCGACACAGGUGGUCAGGUAGAGAAUACCAAGGCGCUUGAGAGAACUCGGGUGAAGGAACUAGGCAAAAUGGUGCCGUAACUUCGGGAGAAGGCACGCUGACACGUAGGUGAAGUGAUUUACUCAUGGAGCUGAAGUCAGUCGAAGAUACCAGCUGGCUGCAACUGUUUAUUAAAAACACAGCACUGUGCAAACACGAAAGUGGACGUAUACGGUGUGACGCCUGCCCGGUGCCGGAAGGUUAAUUGAUGGGGUCAGCGCAAGCGAAGCUCCUGAUCGAAGCCCCGGUAAACGGCGGCCGUAACUAUAACGGUCCUAAGGUAGCGAAAUUCCUUGUCGGGUAAGUUCCGACCUGCACGAAUGGCGUAAUGAUGGCCAGGCUGUCUCCACCCGAGACUCAGUGAAAUUGAACUCGCUGUGAAGAUGCAGUGUACCCGCGGCAAGACGGAAAGACCCCGUGAACCUUUACUAUAGCUUGACACUGAACAUUGAGCCUUGAUGUGUAGGAUAGGUGGGAGGCUUUGAAGUGUGGACGCCAGUCUGCAUGGAGCCGACCUUGAAAUACCACCCUUUAAUGUUUGAUGUUCUAACGUGGACCCGUUACCCGGGUUGCGGACAGUGUCUGGUGGGUAGUUUGACUGGGGCGGUCUCCUCC
Molecule: ribosomal RNA, 2215 nt
Filed under: Salmonella enterica subsp. enterica serovar Enteritidis
Lineage: Bacteria; Pseudomonadati; Pseudomonadota; Gammaproteobacteria; Enterobacterales; Enterobacteriaceae
Description: partial 23S ribosomal RNA
Rfam family: Bacterial large subunit ribosomal RNA
Source: RNAcentral